This 253-nucleotide ribosomal RNA is filed under the name uncultured bacterium. RNAcentral's name for it is "partial 16S ribosomal RNA". It matches the Rfam family "Bacterial small subunit ribosomal RNA", at positions 524 to 776 of the family's 1533-position model. The record is from RNAcentral.
UACGGGGGGGGCGAGCGUUGUUCGGAAUUACUGGGCGUAAAGGGUUCGUAGGUGGCCGGCUAAGUCAGACGUGAAAUCCCUCAGCUCAACUGGGGAACUGCGUCUGAGACUGGUCGGCUCGAGUGCAGGAGAGGAACGCGGAAUUCCAGGUGUAGCGGUGAAAUGCGUAGAUAUCUGGAGGAACACCGGUGGCGAAGGCGGCGUUCUGGACUGCUACUGACACUGAUGAACGAAAGCCAGGGGAGCAAACGGG